Hyaena hyaena (striped hyena) is the source of this 163-nucleotide small nuclear RNA. RefSeq annotates it as U1 spliceosomal RNA. Lineage: Eukaryota; Metazoa; Chordata; Mammalia; Carnivora; Hyaenidae. The transcript has a single exon. The record is from RefSeq and is a predicted model, not a curated record.
AUACUUGGCUGGCAGAGAGAUGUCAUGAUCAUGAAGGUGAUUCUCCCAGGGUGAGGUCUGUCCAUUGCACCCUGGAUGUGCUGACCCCUGCGAUUUCCCCAGAUGUGGGAAACUCAACUGUAUAACUUGUGGCAGUUGGAGACUGCACUCGUGCUUUCCCCUA